Molecule: ribosomal RNA, 252 nt
Filed under: uncultured bacterium
Lineage: Bacteria
Description: partial 16S ribosomal RNA
Rfam family: Bacterial small subunit ribosomal RNA
Source: RNAcentral
UACGUAGGUCCCGAGCGUUGUCCGGAUUUAUUGGGCGUAAAGCGAGCGCAGGUGGUUUAAUAAGUCUGAAGUUAAAGGCAGUGGCUCAACCAUUGUACGCUUUGGAAACUGUUAAACUUGAGUGCAGAAGGGGAGAGUGGAAUUCCAUGUGUAGCGGUGAAAUGCGUAGAUAUAUGGAGGAACACCGGUGGCGAAAGCGGCUCUCUGGUCUGUAACUGACACUGAGGCUCGAAAGCGUGGGUAGCGAACAGG